GGGCGUGAAUAUUGCACAAUGGGCGCAAGCCUGAUGCAGCCAUGCCGCGUGUGUGAAGAAGGCCUUCGGGUUGUAAAGCACUUUCAGUCGUGAGGAAGGCGGGGACGUUAAUAGCGUAUUCAUUUGACGUUAGCGACAGAAGAAGCACCGGCUAACUCCGUGCCAGCAGCCGCGGUAAAUAAAAAAAAAA
Molecule: ribosomal RNA, 190 nt
Filed under: uncultured Vibrio sp.
Lineage: Bacteria; Pseudomonadati; Pseudomonadota; Gammaproteobacteria; Vibrionales; Vibrionaceae
Description: partial 16S ribosomal RNA
Rfam family: Bacterial small subunit ribosomal RNA
Source: RNAcentral